CCAAUAGCGUAUAUUAAAGUUGUUGCAGUUAAAAAGCUCGUAGUUGAAUUUCAGGCCUGGCUGGACGGUCCGCCCUUCGGGUGAGUACUGUCUGUGGUCGGGUCCUACCUUCUGGCGAAGCGUCAUGGCCUUAACCGGCCGUGGCGGGGAACCAGGACUUUUACUGUGAAAAAAUUAGAGUGUUCAAAGCAGGCAAUCGCUUGGAUACAUUAGCAUGGAAUAAUGGAAUAGGACAAUGGUUCUAUUUGUUGGUUUCUAGGACCGUUGUAAUGAUUAAUAGGGAUAGUUGGGGGCAUUAGUAUUAAAUUGUCAGAGGUGAAAUUCUUGGAUUUAUUGAAGACUAACUACUGCGAAAGCAUUUGCCAAGGAUGUUUUCAUUAAUCAAGAACGAAAGUUAGGGGAUCGAAGACGAUCAGAUACCGUCGUAGUCUUAACCACAAACUAUGCCGACUAGGAAUCGGGCGAUGUUGACAAAAUGACGCGCUCGGCACCUCAUG
RNAcentral lists this ribosomal RNA (497 nucleotides) under uncultured Glomeromycotina. RNAcentral's name for it is "partial small subunit ribosomal RNA". It matches the Rfam family "Eukaryotic small subunit ribosomal RNA", at positions 591 to 1092 of the family's 1831-position model. Lineage: Eukaryota; Fungi; Glomeromycota. The record is from RNAcentral.